RNAcentral lists this long non-coding RNA (1056 nucleotides) under Ananas comosus (pineapple). RNAcentral describes it as "long non-coding RNA (ACOM_LNC011749)". Lineage: Eukaryota; Viridiplantae; Streptophyta; Magnoliopsida; Poales; Bromeliaceae. The record is from RNAcentral.
AUCGUAUUUAAGGGCCCAGUAAUCAUGCUCACGAGUAAUGUGAGUUUCGACCUGACUCAACUCACAUAAAAGUUAGGUAUAUUGCUGAGUCUCUUACCGUUAGGUUUUUAGUAAAUAAUAAAUAGUCAACAAUACUCUCCCGCACUGCACUAUUAAUGCAAUAUGUGAAAAUCGAACUCAUAACUCUGACACCACUUGUGGAUUGUAAGUGCUGACCAAUUAUCUCAAAAGUAUGUGCUAAUAGAAAGAGCACAACUAUCGUACUUAAUGGCUCAGUCAUAAUGCUUACGAGUUACAACCGGACUAAAUUCUUUUGAAUAUUAGGCUUAUAAUUGGGCCUUUUACCAUUAGUCUAUUAUGUGCCACAGGCCUACUUAAUUUAUUGGACUUACACAACUCAACUUAUUGAUCUUUUGAGCCUAUUAUCACGGGGCAGAAAUUUGGACCUAUUUUAGCCAAUAAUAAAUAGCUAAUAAAUUCGACUGCUAUUAUAAACCUAUAUUCCUAUCAUGAAACAAUGCGUUUGCAUUAAGAAGUCAUUUGGUUAGAUGUAAUUAUAAAUGUAGUGUACUUAGAAAUGCAUGCAGUUGUAAAUACAGCAGUUACAAUUAUAUUAAUCCUAUUUUGUUGGAUGUAGUAGAAAACGCUGCAAGUAUAAAUAAUUUGUUUAGUUGCAUGCAGUUGAGAAAUAAUUUUUAAAAUUUUAUUAUUUUAUAUAUAUGAUGGUGAGAUUACCUCCAAUGUAGAAAAGAAAAAUAUUUUUUGUUUAAAAAAUAUUAAGAAGGUAAGCAUAUCUUUUAUUUAAAGUUACUCUCUUCAGCUACUGUAGUUGGAACUGCAGUCAAUUUGAGCAUAGUUCGAACUGCUGCAGUCGGGCAUCCUCCUGCGGUUCCUACUGCAGCAGUUGGAGUUAAAUAUAUCAAACCAAAUACUGAAUUUGUAUUUACAUACAGUUACAACUGCAGUGUAGUUACAACGACAUACAACCAAACGGCCCCUAAGUAAAUAUGCUAUGUCUGUUGGAUCGAAGUUGUAGAUAAUUUUAAAUAAAGUAUU